Molecule: non-coding RNA, 152 nt
Organism: Pelobates cultripes (western spadefoot toad)
Lineage: Eukaryota; Metazoa; Chordata; Amphibia; Anura; Pelobatidae
Source: the annotation of a GenBank genome assembly
GCAGACACAUUCCAGCCAAUCAGCAGCAGACCCUCCCUCCUAGACCCUCCCACCUCCUGGACAGCAUCCAUUUUACAUUCAUUGUGAAGCUGUCCAGAAGGUGGGAGGGUCUGGGAGGGAGGGUCUGCUGCUGAUUGGCUGGAAUGUGUCUG